AUCACUUCAGCUGUUCUGGCUUGUUGGAGCACAACAGUUCUUGAAGGGACUCUGCAUUGUAUAAUGAACUGUCGAAACAAGUUUAAAAACAGUGAAGAAUAUGGAGGAACUUUGUAUAAAUUAUAUUAACUUUAAACUGGAUAUUUCAGCAGCUAGCGGAGUGUUGAUGGAGAAACUGAAAAUUGAGGAAGCAUAACUUACAAGAACUCAAAAAUUGAUGUCUCAUUCCCUGAUGGGAUGGUGAGAGAGGACAACUCUCCUUUUGGUUGGAUCUUUUGAAUCUUCAGAAGUAUAGGUCACCAUCUGAUUUGUCCAAGCCAGCACCGUCAAGAAGAGGAGCCAAGUUGGAUCACCCAGCAGAAAUUGGAUAAAAUGGUCCAUCUCCUUCAGCACAUUGCUUUCUCAAAGCUGAAGACACCUGGAAGAGAGAAGACUGAGGUCCUCGGCCAGCCACCUUUGAGUUCUCCUGGUGACACUUACAAUAUUUAUCUUGGAUAGGAACUUUCAAAUGUCUCUUUUUAUUUUCCAGCAAUUUGGGUUGCCCAUUAGCCCACUGGGAAAAGACUAUAGUUGUGUCUGUCCUUCACUCCACCGGUUUUUGCAGUGUCAGCUCCUGCUCUGAAUGAUAACUGAGCUGAAAGCUGAUGGAUGAACAAGAUCUCAUGAUAAGCAACACACAGACUUCCUCUCAGGUGAUAACCCAUAUCAGCGAAUUGAUUAGUUCCUGAAACUGAGUACCUAAUUAGCAAGGAAAUGGAGCAUUGGAGAGAGAACUUCCCUCGUGAAUCACUUUCGGCGUUUAAUCUCUGACGGUAAUUGGUCUUGAUCACCAUGAGAGCAGAGGAUCCAAUCUCACAAUGGUACGUUGUGGAGAAGGGCAUCAGGAACUUGACCGCCCAUUGUGACAGGUUCAGGGGUUACAUUGCGACAGGCUCCACAGUCCAGUGGGAAUCAAGCUGGUUAUUGAUCUAAUAGCAUACCUGCAAAUGCGGCCUUUGAAUGACUGGCAACCUUCUUCUGCAGCAUGUGUAUAUUGACAGUUGUUGGGUCUGCUAAAGUCAUCCUGCCAAUGUCCUCGUCUUCAUUGGAUGUCCUCAGUUACUGCAUGUGCUGCUCCAUUUUCCUUCCUGGGGAGCCCCUUUGUGGAGGACUAGAACAAGGCCUAUGCAACAUUUAUGUUCAACUUGGAUCCUCACAAUAUGGCGUCAGUGGGAUUUAUAUGGUGCCCUCAGCACAGUGAAGAAUUUCACCCAGAUUGUCUAGAAUCUCGCCCCCAGACCACCGCCCAGAAAGAUCUGAAGAAUGGACAUAAAUGGAGAUGGAAACUUCAUGUCACCUGAUGAAACCACCCAUUGCCUAGGUUGAGAAUAUGUAGCAGUUAGAACACAACUAAAUCCCCCAGAUCUGGCCACCUCUGAAUUUUGGGAGAGUUUGGAUCAAGAUCAGAACUGUACAGGUGACCCUAAGCUUUUUAAUGGUCUGAGUCAAAAGCCUGGCUCCCAAGCUUUCCUCCUUUGGGGAAGUUCAGGUCCACUUCUGAAUCGAUGACUCCAGCUCAUCCCUCUGAUUUUUCAUUUAUCAGAGGGUGAGAUUAUUAAAAGCACUCAUCUCUGCUCCUAUUAAAAUCAAUAAUAAAGUAACAGGAGCAGAGUUAGACCAAUGCUGAGCACUUUUGAAAAUCUCACCUAUAUUGAUCAGUGACGGACAAAUCUUCCAACACCCGUAGACUCAGCCAAGAAAGCAUAAAGAGAUUCAGAGGAUUUAGAUUCUUUGGUUUCUGAAAAUGGACCAGAAACCCAGGAAGAUCAGACUCCCACAUGAGGUUUCUGCUGCUUCCCAUUUCUGGUCAAGUUAGGAACAUAGCGUACACACAGAAAACCACAGGACUGCCACAUCUAAGGACAUGGGGAGGGAUAGUCAAAAGUGUCUAUGUGACGUAGGCUCUUUCAAUGGUCCAAGAUUGUUCUACUGUUUGAGGGAAUCUCAGAGAAGGUACAUCCAGAACUUGUGGAUUGGAGAGACAAUGAGAAGGGCAAAAGAGGAAAAGCUCUUGAUUCCAAAGAGUUCUGGAAGUCUUUGGGACUCUGGCUUGAGUAAGGACUGCAGGGUUGGGCUACCACCCUUACUAAAUGAACUUUGCAUAACCACUGUGCCCCGAGAUUAAGACCAAGUGAGGCAGAUUUAAUACAGGAGAACAACAACCUUCUGAAAAGUGGCCUUCAUUGAGAAUUUGAUUUUCUGCAACACGUGACAUCUAGGUCCGUGGAAUGAUGUGUCCCCCAAAGGCUGUCACCAUUGACCUUGCUGAAAUGGCAUGCUGUAGUACAAAGGACUGGAAUGGGUUUUUAUUAUUCUAUAAACAUGGCCAAACACAAGGAGAAGAGAGGGGGCGGGGGGAAGAUGAAAUAGUAAAGUGGUUUGGAAUCUGCAAUGAAGUGUGGAGUCUGGUGCCUGGCCCAGGACUUUGUUUUAAUGAAAGCCGUUUGACACACAUCUAGCUGAGUGGCAAAAGUGCACCCUCUAAAUGGUCGGACUUUCUGGCUGUAAUUUAUGUGUAUUUCUUGGAUGUGGCAUAGUAAGGGCCAGAUGGUUCUGUCCUGCCGUCAUGCAAAGCCAGGGGCUGAUCGGUCAAGUUCCACUCUUCCAUUAUUUUCUCCAUUUGCUGAAAGAAUAGAGACAUAUCCUAUGCAGGGGGAUUUUUUUUUUUUAUAAAAAAAAGAGCUAUUUUGCCCUUCAAAUUCAAAGCCUUUUUUUGUGUGUCAACACUGCUCCUGCUUCAGAGUAGCAGCCAUGUUAGUCUGUAUCCGCAAAAAGAAGAACAGGAGUACUUGUGGCACCUUAGAGACUAACAAAUUUAUUAGAGCAUAAGCUUUCGUGGACUACAGCCCACUUCUUCGGAUAAUCCUGCAUUCAUAUUCGCUGAGAAAUCAGCCCUUGUUAAAGGUUCCUAAGAGGGAUGAGCCUCUUUAAACUUUGUUGGGGUCUACUCAUAUGACACACAAGUGCAGGCUGAUGCUGGAUAGAAAGCCGUUCAUAGACCAUUAUUUGAUUUGACCCUACUGAGGAUCUGAAUGUAUAGCAUUAGGUGAAUGCUGCAAAAAAUAAAUUCCUUUAAAUAAAAAACAUGGUUUUGUUCCCAUGGUAUCUGUGAUC
Molecule: long non-coding RNA, 3153 nt
Organism: Trachemys scripta elegans
Lineage: Eukaryota; Metazoa; Chordata; Testudines; Emydidae
Exons: 4
Source: RefSeq, a predicted model, not a curated record